GCUGCCCCACCCACCCAGCAAAACCUCUGUGUGCUCUACCAACAUGCUUCCGUGCAUUUGAACGAUGAGGACCUGGGAGGAAGGGGACAAACCCUCUUCCCCCGCACUGCUGAGCACAGACGCAAAAAAGGGACCCUCCAUAACGAGAGCCCCCACCCAUGGAUGGAGAGGUCUGGCCCCUCACCACGUCCACUGCCCCUCCCUCUGCUCACUAUACUUCAGCCACUCUGGUCCAGAGGAAGAUAAAAUCAAGGAGGAGCCAGCCCAGCUCUGCAAACUCAGGAGAGGCAGGCUACACAUGCCACAUGCCCCUGGUGACACAUACUGGCUGUAUGGGACCCAACAAGAGAAGCCAGAGGGUGAUCUCAUAAGUCCCCUAGUGGCUUAAUUCAAUGCACAGAAGCCUUAAGUCAUGAGCAGCAGGGUCUCAACUGGACCCAACCACACUGAGUGCUGUGGCCUCGGCAUGUGAAGAGGCUGGCUGAGGAGGGUCCCUGGCAGUCUGUCUGUCUGUCUGUGGAAGUGAAGGGUCUCCUGGGAUAACACUUGGCCUAGGGGGAGAGACAGGAGGUGGGAACAGGGCCAUCAAGGCAACAUGGAAAGAGCUACUUCCCCAGGAAAAUUCUGAGGCCUCCACCAUACUCAUCAUGGCUUCUGGGGCGUGCUGAAGACUUGGCACUAUGGCACCUCACAGCCACAGGGCAACAAGGCAGCAGUGGUGCCCAGGGUGGCGGAGGCAGCAGUGGGACUGCAGGCAGCAGAGGCCUUCAGUGUCAUGGACAUGAUGGCAGCAGCCAUCCCAGAAAGUGCCUGGCCAGGUAGAGAAGGGAGAGAGAGAUGGCACAUUAGCUAGGCCUAUUCAUUUGCUUCACUCCUUGGGGACAUCAGGAAGAAAAGAGGGGAACACAGAACUUUGCUGGAGCUUCUCUAGUUGCAGAGGAUGCAGGAACAAAACCUGGAUCAUCGCCGCAUGGCCCUAACUCACAUCUGCAUCCCGCCGUGGGUACCCAGAGUCGUGGUGGAUAUCCCCUCCACUGAACAGGGAAUAUCCAUCCACUCGCACAUGCAGCGGGAGUCCGCCAUUGCUCAGAGCACCGCUUUAGCAAUAUUCCUGCAGUGCCAGCUGGCUAAUGAAAGCAACUGCUGUGCUUUGCAGGGUUAAUUUAUUCAGUGCCUGGAAUAUGCCCUAUCCUUCGUCAGCAUCAAUCGCUUCUAGCAUUGUGUUUUAAAUAUACACAGGAACCACAAAUACGACGGAUAAUUUUGCAGGCUGCUCCUGGGAUUACCUUGUCAUUACACGUUCCUUGCACAGGAGUAAGUCUACAAGGAACAGCAAGUACAGCAACUGCUGUGCGAUCUGUUUCCAGCGUGAGGGACAGAAACGGUUAUGUAACAGCACUUCCGCUGCCCCCUAUGGAUGUGCCCUUUAUGACACAGACACAUCUGACUUUCAAAAUAAAGAGGGACAGUUACCCCCGACCCUCAAAGAGCACAGCCUGAGCCAUGCCAUGAAGCCACCUCCACCUCCUCUUUGUUGGAGGAUAAGGCACACCAAGUGCUCAGGCCCCUGCUCCCUUCUGCCCACUCCUGCCAGCUGUCUUGCACUUUGACCCCAGGCACAGCAAAUGACCAGCAGCUGCAGGGAUGCUGAGUUCUAUCAUCCAGCCUCCAGGCCUGCCCAAGGCCACUCUAAGCCCAGAACAGGCUUCCCAGCCUGAACUCCUGCUUUUCACUUACCCUCUACUGUCUGGUAAACCUCAGUUCACAGCCCCUUGUCUGGGCACAGACCUGCUUCCACACCACAGUGUGUCCACAGCACCCUGGACCCAGGCUUAUCAGCAGGCCUUACACCAGACAAAGACUGUUUCCCUGUGUGACUCCCACCCCCACCUCCCUUGCCCAGAUGGUCCCUGAGUGAAGGGCUCUGUCUCAUUCCUCUGUGGUUCCACACCUGUGGGCCCAGUGUCUGGUCCACAUUAAAGACAGCCCAUUGACCUAAAGGUGAAACCUGAAACUAGAAAACCUCUAGAAGAAAACAGGAGAAAACUGUUGUGACCUCGAGUAAGGCAAAGAUUUCUUAGUUACAACACCAAAAAUAUGAGCAAUAAAAUAACUAAGAUAAAAAAACAAAAAAACCCACCUGAUUAAUGGGAUACUGUCAAAAUUUAAAACUUAUGGUCUUCAAAAGACAUUGUCAACAAAAUGAAAAGACAAGCCAUCAACUGGAAGGGAAAUAUCUGCAAAACACAAAACUGAUAAAGGACUUGAAUCUUGAAUUCUUGAAUAAUAACCAUUUUUGUUAUUA
This 2305-nucleotide long non-coding RNA is filed under the name Homo sapiens (human). RNAcentral describes it as "HSALNT0388961". Lineage: Eukaryota; Metazoa; Chordata; Mammalia; Primates; Hominidae. The record is from RNAcentral.